AGUUUUGGUUUACUUAAUGAACAUGGCCAAAAGUAUGGAACGCUUCACGAUUUUGCGUGUCAUCCUUGCGCUACGCGGGCCCUUUUCUUCGCUGUAAUUUGAAACAUUUGAAACAUUUGGAUGCCAUUGGAACAAUUGGAACAAAAUUUGAAACAAUUGAAACAAUUGGAACGCUAAUGUGAAAGGAGGCCGCAAGGAGGAUGGCUGCCAAAACAGUUUUUCGCAAAUUUCACGCUCACGCGUACAUUUUAGGAGCAUAGUUCCGUCAUCAGAACGUUUUUUUUUUCAGAAUUCCCUAUCAUUUGGUGCCCGUUAGGUCACAUUUCUUCGCGUUUUUACCGAGAUUGAGCUCGAAACUGCAGGCUUCAUGGGCCCUUACCCACUAUAAGCCCAACAUGGAGCAGACGGCUUUACCGGUGCAGUACACUGUCAACACAGUUACUGGGCUAGCAGCAAAAAGCCGGGGCUUCUCGUUUUUUGUUUUUAAUUUAACUCGCGCCGUUUUACGUUUUAAUCCCAACGAAAGGAAUGCUAAAAGAAAGUUGGGCAAGAAGGCAAGAAAGAAUUCAUUACUACAGGUCUCAUGUCGGUCUCGUUCGCAUUUCCUCAGUACUUCAACAACCCCUUGAUGGGCAACGGGAGAUGACUUCAUGGAAUCAAAACACAACCCAUUUAAGAAAUGUCAAAUCACUUUCUUGAUUAACUCUACGACUCCAGUGUUUGUCAAGCACUGGAGUUGGGUCAAGGCAACAUGGGAGAAAAACACAUGAAUAAGACACUAUUCUCUCGACAAGUGGUUGGAAAUGAAAAAAGGUUGAAAUACAUCAAGCAUGAAGCAACCAUGCAAUAAAUCAAGAUGUUGAGCAGCUGGCAGUCACUUUGGUAAUUGAGCCUGUUUCUUCCUCUGCU
Molecule: long non-coding RNA, 909 nt
Organism: Daphnia magna
Lineage: Eukaryota; Metazoa; Arthropoda; Branchiopoda; Diplostraca; Daphniidae
Exons: 4
Source: RefSeq, a predicted model, not a curated record